CCGGAUCUCCCGCCCAACUUGAUAACCUUUUCUAACUUUUCUCCAAUCACACAUUUGUACAAGCCCAAUUUAGCCCGGGCCCGCACCAAAUGAACCAAACCAUACCAAGAAUAAAAACAGUCCAUUUAGCCCAAUUACAACCCGAAUUAGAUGGCCCAAAUCAGAAAAUUUUAACAGCCCACUAAUUAAACCCAACAACCCACAAGCCC
RNAcentral lists this long non-coding RNA (209 nucleotides) under Gossypium raimondii (Peruvian cotton). Its description in RNAcentral is "long non-coding RNA (GRAI_LNC004805)". Lineage: Eukaryota; Viridiplantae; Streptophyta; Magnoliopsida; Malvales; Malvaceae. The record is from RNAcentral.